GCCCCUUGGCGGGCGGUUACCGGCGGGAACGCGCAGGGGCCGCCGCUGCCAGGGGGCGCUGUGGUGGUUACCCCGAAAGGAACCGGUGUUACCCACUGGGUGCGGCGCUGGUGGCAGCGUCUGCACUGGAGCAUCCUUAUGGGGGCCGUGGUCCAGUUCCUUGGUUCUCUGGGACGUAACUUCAAGUUUUGUCUGCUACAGGCAGCGCCUGGCCAAAACACAGAGGGUUGGUUGGUUGGUUUUUAAUAGCUUUGAGUAUGGAGAGUGUCGAGCAACCAAGAAGCGCUGCUCUCCAUCUAAGGCACGUGGAUUAUCCCAGGUGACCUGCAUUUCAGAGCCAUAAGCAGCCAUUUCCCACCUGCCCUCCAUUUCUACCUCAGGAGAGGAUGGCAGAGCUCAGUACAUGCUUUAGCUUCAGCCAUGACUUACAACGCUUUGUUCUCAACCAAAGGCAGAAGUGACUUGUGAAGAGCUAGUCUGUACUCCAAGGCACUAGUCAGUUCUAGUGGAGAGAACGGUGGCUAUAUCCCUAGGCCUCAGUUUAAUCAGCAGCUGAGAGGACUGUUUGAUUACUAAUAGAAGAGAUGGAGUGGUGUUGAUUGUGUUUAUCCCCAGCGUCUAGAUUGCUGAUGAUUUCUGAGAGAUUAGAAGUCUUAUACUACUGUUCUUUCAAAUUCUGAAGAAUCCAGCUGUCCAGAAUUCAUACUUUGUUCAUGAGAAUAGAAACCGAGAAAUCUCUGAAGGAAGUUCAGAGAGCCAGUUCUGUAAUGAAAUAUAGAAAGAUAAAAAUUGCCAUUGAAAUCUUACACUUAAACACAUGUGAAAGUGUGUGCGAGACCUGGUAGACUGAUGGCUGUUUCUUAGGAAUUGGUCAUAAAUAUGUCGAAUCCUGUUUAGAAAGGAGUUUUUUUAAAAAAAUAAUCUAUUAAUAAAUUCAGUAGUGACUUGAAAAGUG
This is a non-coding RNA of Anas platyrhynchos (mallard), 955 nucleotides long. The record is from RefSeq and is a predicted model, not a curated record. NCBI's taxonomy places the organism in Eukaryota, Metazoa, Chordata, Aves, Anseriformes, Anatidae.